Molecule: ribosomal RNA, 253 nt
Filed under: uncultured bacterium
Lineage: Bacteria
Description: partial 16S ribosomal RNA
Rfam family: Bacterial small subunit ribosomal RNA
Source: RNAcentral
UACGUAGGUGGCAAGCGUUGUCCGGAUUUACUGGGCGUAAAGCGCGCGUAGGCGGGCCUUUAAGUCGGUGGUGAAAUCUCAGGGCUCAACCCUGAAACUGCCGCCGAAACUGGGGGUCUUGAGGUAUGGAGAGGGAAGUGGAAUUCCUGGUGUAGCAGUGAAAUGCGUAGAUAUCAGGAGGAACACCCGUGGCGAAGGCGGCUUCCUGGCCAUAAUCUGACGCUGAGGUGCGAAAGCUAGGGGAGCGAACGGG